UCUUUUAUCAGUCUGAAUAAAAAGACAGUGGAGAAUAUUCCUGUAAAAUCAGCAACCCAAUCAACACUGAGGAAGCUACAUACACCGUGGUUGUUAACUAUGGACCAGAAAAUGUUCAAAUCACAGGUCCGAAUGAGAUCCAUAUUGAACAGACCUUAACAUUAACCUGCUCUGCUGAGUCCACACCAUCUGCUAGUUACACCUGGACACUGAAUGGGACUGAGAUACACAACUCUUCUGUGUUUGCUAAAGACAUCACUGAACUUUCUGACAGUGGCAACUACAUCUGCGAAGCAAUGAAUAAUGUAACUGGAAAAACAUCAUCAUCAGCGGUCCACCAGUUGUCUGUAACAGCUGUCAAAACUUCACCCUGUUCGGCUGGUUGCAUCGCUGGAUUAGUAAUCGCAUGUUUGGUCAUCUGUGGAGCAGGUUUUGGUGGAGGAUACUACAUAUAUAAAAAAAGAAUCAACAACAAACCUCAGGCACAUGAUACAAAACGAGAAGGACACUGAGAACACUUCAGAGGUAUAUGAGAACAUAUAAACUGUCUUUUAAGAUGAUCAGAAAAGAAGAGACACCAAUGUUGUUGUUUUGUUUUAGAAUUCAUACUGUUUCUUCUGUGUUUGGGUUAUGUUUCUUUUAGAUAAAUAAUUUACAACACAGCAAAACGUAACAGUAACAGAAUUACCAGUGUAUUUCAAAGUCUUGUUGACAGACACAUAAAUGUGCUUAAAGUUGAAUUAAGUGACUGUUUGGACACUUGUAGGCAGAAGAGCACCACAACAUAAUGACACAUAGCAGCCCUGAUAUAUUAUCACAUUAUUGUUUUUGAUAGCUAAUGUGUUGUUUUUUUAUAGCUAAUGUGUUAGCAAACAUUUGCCAUUUAUCCAUAUGUACAGUAUAACAGUAGCAUUUCCUCUGCUUUUCUGGCCACUUGUUGAAUUAAAUAUUCCUUCUCAUUUUAGCAGGUAGCAAAUGCAUUGGGUUUGUCAGAGUAAUCUGCCGUAAACAGUGUUUAUGAGAGUGAAAUGUCUUCAAACCCAAAACAAAGAGUGUAAAUACAGUAAAAAGCUCCAGUAAGCUGUAGUGCUGGGUGAUGAUUCACCCUGAGUCCUUUUACAUUUAAAACAUAAUAUAUUUAGUUGAAUAUUGUUAUGCUAGUUUUCCUUACACCAUUCCUGGUGUGUUGCGCAUUUCUACAGAGUAUUUCUAAUUUUUGCUUUUAUUUUGCUGUUCUUUAUUGUGUCCAGCCACAACUUUGUAAAUUAAUGGAAGAAUAUUGGGGUGGAAUAAGACAUUAUGCUAAUUAACAAUAUAUAUCAAUAUAUUUUGAAAACUGCAACACAAAAUGUUAAUUCUUUCUCUGUCAUGUGAACUUACAGCAACUGAAUAUGUAACAGUCUUUAAAUAUAACAGUCAAAGACUGGCAACUGCGGAAAUGACUUUGGAAGUAUAUUUUAAUAAAUAUGUAUAUAUCUUCUUACUGUUUACUUGAGUUGAUACAUUUGACUUCCUUACAAUAAAUACAAACAAUGAAGAAA
This is a long non-coding RNA of Micropterus salmoides (largemouth bass), 1541 nucleotides long. RefSeq lists it as uncharacterized. The transcript is spliced from 6 exons. The record is from RefSeq and is a predicted model, not a curated record. Lineage: Eukaryota; Metazoa; Chordata; Actinopteri; Centrarchiformes; Centrarchidae.